GAUGAACCGAGCGAACGUUGUUCGGAAUCACUGGGCUUAAAGGGCGCGUAGGCGGGCAUUCAAGUCCGGGGUGAAAUCCUCCAGCUCAACUGGAGAACUGCCUCGGAUACUGGGUGUCUCGAGGGUGGUAGGGGUAUGCGGAACUAUCGGUGGAGCGGUGAAAUGCGUUGAUACCGAUAGGAACUCCGGUGGCGAAGGCGGCAUACUGGACUACAUCUGACGCUGAGGCGCGAAAGCCAGGGGAGCGAACGGG
RNAcentral lists this ribosomal RNA (253 nucleotides) under uncultured bacterium. RNAcentral's name for it is "partial 16S ribosomal RNA". It matches the Rfam family "Bacterial small subunit ribosomal RNA", at positions 524 to 776 of the family's 1533-position model. The record is from RNAcentral.